RNAcentral lists this ribosomal RNA (465 nucleotides) under uncultured bacterium. RNAcentral's name for it is "bacterial SSU rRNA". It matches the Rfam family "Bacterial small subunit ribosomal RNA", at positions 338 to 795 of the family's 1533-position model. The record is from RNAcentral.
CCUACGGGUCGCAGCAGUGGGGAAUAUUGCACAACGGGCGCAAGCCUGAUGCAGCCAUGCCGCGUGUGUGAAGAAGGCCUUCGGGUUGUAAAGCACUUUCAGCGGGGAGGAAGGCGAUAAGGUUAAUAACCUUGUCGAUUGACGUUACCCGCAGAAGACGCACCGGCUAACUACGAGCCAGCAGCCGCGGUAAUACGGAGGGUGCAAGCGUUAAUCGGAAUUACUGGGCGUAAAGCGCACGCAGGCGGUCUGUCAAGUCGGAUGUGAAAUCCCCGGGCUCAACCUGGGAACUGCAUUCGAAACUGGCAGGCUAGAGUCUUGUAGACGGGGGUAGAAUUCCAGGUGUAGCGGUGAAAUGCGUAGAGAUCUGGAGGAAUACCGGUGGCGAAGGCGGCCCCCUGGACAAAGACUGACGCUCAGGUGCGAAAGCGCGGGGAGCAAACAGGAUUAGAUACCCCAGUAGUC